RNAcentral lists this ribosomal RNA (292 nucleotides) under uncultured bacterium. RNAcentral's name for it is "partial 16S ribosomal RNA". It matches the Rfam family "Bacterial small subunit ribosomal RNA", at positions 505 to 796 of the family's 1533-position model. The record is from RNAcentral.
GUGCCAGCAGCCGCGGUAAGACGUAGGAGGCGAGCGUUGUCCGGAUUCAUUGGGCGUAAAGAGCACGCAGGCGGUUUGGCAAGUCGGACGUGAAAAUCCGGGGCUCAACCCCGGACCUGCAUCCGAAACUGCCCGACUAGAGGUAGGUAGGGGAGAUCGGAAUUCCUGGUGUAGCGGUGAAAUGCGCAGAUAUCAGGAGGAACACCGGUGGCGAAGGCGGAUCUCUGGGCCUUACCUGACGCUCAGGUGCGAAAGCUAGGGGAGCGAACAGGAUUAGAAACCCGUGUAGUCC